AUAUAAAUAGGUAACUACGGGGUACUAUGAUCCCAGCUACAGGUAACUAUAUAACUAGGUAACUACAGGGAACUAUAGUACAAGCUACAGGUAACAAGAUAACUAGGUAACUAUGGUACAAGCUACAGGUAACAAGAUAACUAGGUAACUAUGGUACAAGCUACAGGUAACAAGAUAACUAGGUAACUAUAGUACAAGCUACAGGUAACAAGAUAACUAGGGAACUAUAGUACAAGCUACAGGUAACAAGAUAACUAGGUAACUAUGGUACAAGCUACAUGUAACAAGAUAACUAGGUAACUAUGGUACAAGCUACAGGUAACAAGAUAACUAGGUAACUAUGGUACAAGCUACAGGUAACAAGAUAACUAGGUAACUAUGGUACAAGCUACAGGUAACAAGAUAACUAGGUAACUAUGGUACAAGCUACAGGUAACAAGAUAACUAGGUAACUAUGGUACAAGCUACAGGUAACAAGAUAACUAGGUAACUAUGGUACAAGCUACAGGUAACAAGAUAACUAGGUAACUAUGGUACAAGCUACAGGUAACAAGAUAACUAGGUAACUAUGGUACAAGCUACAGGUAACAAGAUAACUAGGUAACUAUAGUACAAGCUACAGGUAACAAGAUAACUAGGUAACUAUGGUACAAGCUACAGGUAACAAGAUAACUAGGUAACUAUGGUACAAGCUACAGGUAACAAGAUAACUAGGUAACUAUGGUACAAGCUACAGGUAACAAGAUAACUAGGUAACUAUAGUACAAGCUACAGGUAACAAGAUAACUAGGUAACUAUGGUACAAGCUACAGGUAACAAGAUAACUAGGUAACUAUGGUACAAGCUACAGGUAACAAGAUAACUAGGUAACUAUGGUACAAGCUACAGGUAACAAGAUAACUAGGUAACUAUGGUACAAGCUACAGGUAACAAGAUAACUAGGUAACUAUGGUACAAGCUACAGGUAACAAGAUAACUAGGUAACUAUGGUACAAGCUACAGGUAACAAGAUAACUAGGUAACUAUGGUACAAGCUACAGGUAACAAGAUAACUAGGUAACUAUAGUACAAGCUACAGGUAACAAGAUAACUAGGUAACUAUGGUACAAGCUACAGGUAACAAGAUAACUAGGUAACUAUGGUACAAGCUACAGGUAACAAGAUAACUAGGUAACUAUGGUACAAGCUACAGGUAACAAGAUAACUAGGUAACUAUGGUACAAGCUACAGGUAACAAGAUAACUAGGUAACUAUGGUACAAGCUACAGGUAACAAGAUAACUAGGUAACUAUGG
Oncorhynchus gorbuscha (pink salmon) is the source of this 1294-nucleotide long non-coding RNA. RefSeq lists it as uncharacterized. The record is from RefSeq and is a predicted model, not a curated record. The transcript has 3 exons. Lineage: Eukaryota; Metazoa; Chordata; Actinopteri; Salmoniformes; Salmonidae.